RNAcentral lists this ribosomal RNA (115 nucleotides) under Vibrio sp. THAF190c. The record is from RNAcentral. Lineage: Bacteria; Pseudomonadati; Pseudomonadota; Gammaproteobacteria; Vibrionales; Vibrionaceae.
UGGCGAUCAUAGCGUUGUGGACCCACCUGAUUCCAUGCCGAACUCAGAAGUGAAACGCAAUAGCGCCGAUGGUAGUGUGGGGCUUCCCCAUGUGAGAGUAGGACAUCGCCAGGCU